RNAcentral lists this ribosomal RNA (492 nucleotides) under uncultured bacterium. RNAcentral's name for it is "partial 16S ribosomal RNA". It matches the Rfam family "Bacterial small subunit ribosomal RNA", at positions 29 to 507 of the family's 1533-position model. The record is from RNAcentral.
AGUGAACGCUGGCGGUAGGCCUAACACAUGCAAGUCGAACGGCAGCACAGUAAGAGCUUGCUCUUACGGGUGGCGAGUGGCGGACGGGUGAGGCAUACAUCGGAAUCUACUUUUUCGUGGGGGAUAACGUAGGGAAACUUAUGCUAAUACCGCAUAUGACCUACGGGUGAAAGCAGGGGAUCUUCGCACCUUGCGCGACUGUAUGAGCCGAUGUCGGAUUAGCUAGUUGGUGAGGUAACGGCCCACCAAGGCGACGAUCCGUAGCUGAUCUGAGAGGAUGAUCGGCCACACUGGAACUGAGACACGGUCCAGACUCCUACGGGAGGCAGCAGUGGGGAAUAUUGGGCAAUGGGCGCAAGCCUGAUCCAGCCAUACCGCGUGGGUGAAGAAGGCCUUCGGGUUGUAAAGCCCUUUUGUUGGGAAAGAAAAGCUGCAGGUUAAUACGCCGCUGUUCUGACGGUACCCAAAGAAUAAGCACCGGCUAACCUCGUG